This 723-nucleotide ribosomal RNA is filed under the name Paratrichodorus sp. CD3449l. Its description in RNAcentral is "partial large subunit ribosomal RNA". It matches the Rfam family "Eukaryotic large subunit ribosomal RNA", at positions 363 to 910 of the family's 3401-position model. The record is from RNAcentral. Lineage: Eukaryota; Metazoa; Nematoda; Enoplea; Triplonchida; Trichodoridae.
GUUGAAAAGAACUUAGAGGUGAGAGUUCAACAGGGCGUAAAACCGCUUAGAAGCAAACGGUUGGUGCUGGCAUUAAAUCCGCCGGAUUCAGCCGGUCUAUGGGUGGUUCGCCUGCACGCUGAUCGCAAGACAGCUGUGUGGGUUGAUUCUGCCUCAGAUCGGUGCAUUUUCGACGGAAAGCAUCAUGACCGACAGCUGCGCUGGCAUACGGCUGGUGGAUUGCCGACUGUGGGUCUUCGGACUUGCAGUGCCCCAUCCACCGUGCCCUGUCCGGGUUGCGGCUGUCGGAUAACUGAACGCGCUCGCUUCGCUCAUCAGGUGCAGUCAUUCGGCUGGUCGAAUCUGUGUAUCUUGCGUGCAAGAUGCGCUAAACCUCAGCUGUCUGGCGGUGCUUGUUAUGAGAUGCGCUAAAGGUCUAUGAUGUCCGCGUCAGUCUCCCAACCGACCCGUCUUGAAACACGGACCAAGGAGUCUAACAUGUGCGCAAGUCAUGGGGUGGAAAACCCAAAGGCGUAAUGAAAGUAAAGGCCGCAAGGCCGAGGUGUGAUGUCUGGCUUGACCGGACCGCAACACCGUCCCAUCGCAUCGGCUCGUCCGAGCGGUGGAGAAAGAGCGUACCUGUUGGGACCCGAAAGAUGGUGAACUAUGCCUGAGCAGGAUGAAGCCAGAGGAAACUCUGGUGGAGGUCCGUAGCGGUUCUGACGUGCAAAUCGAUCGUCAGAC